GGUUGGACAGACUUACUAAUAUCUGAUUCCAAGAAAUUUGUUUCUAGGGUGGGAAACU
This 58-nucleotide non-coding RNA is filed under the name Clostridiales bacterium oral taxon 876 str. F0540. Its description in RNAcentral is "Na+ riboswitch aptamer (DUF1646)". It matches the Rfam family "Na+ riboswitch aptamer (DUF1646)". From Rfam's summary of the family: Proteobacteria, NC10, Acidobacteria, Verrucomicrobia. Lineage (Clostridia) The riboswitch of Na+ was first reported in a comparative analysis of intergenic regions and called DUF1646 RNA, it was also suggested that it acts as cis-reg RNA present upstream of Na+ genes. RNAcentral also lists the same sequence under 1 other name. The record is from Rfam by way of RNAcentral. Lineage: Bacteria; Bacillati; Bacillota; Clostridia; Eubacteriales.